This 341-nucleotide long non-coding RNA is filed under the name Mustela putorius furo (domestic ferret). RNAcentral's name for it is "lncRNA (ENSMPUG00000029222.1)". Lineage: Eukaryota; Metazoa; Chordata; Mammalia; Carnivora; Mustelidae. The record is from RNAcentral.
ACAUUGAUAACUGUGCAGACGGACUCCCAAUCCAAUCUCAGGCCUUGUUUCUUACUUUAUAAUCUUUUUUUUUUCUGGACCCGCAGGCUUUCCCUCAUCAGGCUGACGAUGGCUCGCUUCACACAUACCACUCAAGACUUCUGUGCAGUAUAAAAUAGAAGAUCAAAAGCAGGGUUGACUCUUUUCUGAAAAAGUUUGGUAAGGCCAGGCAUUUGAACACUGAGUCACAUGCACCAGAACCAGGCACAUGGAGGACAGCUGACUCCACAGAACCAGGGAUUUGGGUAAGUGCCCAGCACCAAAGCCACCUAAAGUGACAGCAAAUGCUAACUUUUUAGUAA